AGCGAAUAGAUACCCGGGUAGUCCAUGCCGUAAACUAUGGAUACUAGCUGUUGGGGGGUAUCGACCCCUCCAGUAGCGAAAGCUAAACGCGUUAAGUAUCCCGCCUGUGGAGUACGAUCGCAAGAUUAAAACAUAAAGGAAUUGACGGGGACCCGCACAAGCGGUGGAGCGUGUUCUUUAAAUUCGAUGCUAAACGAAGAACCUUACCAGGGCUUGACAUCCCUUGAAUUACUCCGAAAGGAGUGAGUGCUUUAUUGAGCAAGGUGACAGGUGAUGCAUGGCCGUCGUCAGCUCGUGUCGUGAGAUGUUUGGUUAAGUCCAUCAACGAGCGCAACCCUUAUACUUAGUUGUAUUUUUCUAGGUAGACUGCCCCGGUAACGGGGAGGAAGGGGGGUA
Molecule: ribosomal RNA, 396 nt
Filed under: uncultured bacterium
Lineage: Bacteria
Description: bacterial SSU rRNA
Rfam family: Bacterial small subunit ribosomal RNA
Source: RNAcentral